AUUGAACGCUGGCGGCAGGCUUAACACAUGCAAGUCGAACGGUAACAUAAAGAAGCUUGCUUCUUUGAUGACGAGUGGCGGACGGGUGAGUAAUGCUUGGGAAUCUAGCUUAUGGAGGGGGAUAACUACGGGAAACUGUAGCUAAUACCGCGUAAUAUCGAAAGAUUAAAGUGUGGGACCUUCGGGCCACAUGCCAUAGGAUGAGCCCAAGUGGGAUUAGGUAGUUGGGGAGGUAAAGGCUCACCAAGCCGACGAUCUCUAGCUGGUCUGAGAGGAUGACCAGCCACACUGGGACUAAGAAACGGCCCAGACUCCUACGGGAGGCAGCAGUGGGGAAUAUUGCGCAAUGGGGGCAACCCUGACGCAGCCAUGCCGCGUGAAUGAAGAAGGCCUUCGGGUUGUAAAGUUCUUUCGGUAGCGAGGAAGGCACUUAGUUUAAUAGACUAGGUGAUUGACGUUAACUACAGAAGAAGCACCGGCUAACUCCGUGCCAGCCGCCGCCGUAA
Molecule: ribosomal RNA, 506 nt
Filed under: uncultured bacterium
Lineage: Bacteria
Description: partial 16S ribosomal RNA
Rfam family: Bacterial small subunit ribosomal RNA
Source: RNAcentral